AGAGCUGCUCCUAGUACGAGAGGACCGGAGUGGACGAACCCCUGGUGUUCGGGUUGUGUCGCCAGACGCAUUGCCCGGUAGCUACGUUCGGACAGGAUAACCGCUGAAAGCAUCUAAGCGGGAAGCCCCCUUCAAGAUAAGUUUUCCCUAACUCCUUGAGAGUUCUAAAGGGCCGUUGAAGACUACAACGUUGAUAGGUCGGGUGUGUAAGUGCUGCGAGGCAUUGAGCUAACCGAUACUAAUUGCCCGUGAGGCUUGACCAU
Molecule: non-coding RNA, 263 nt
Filed under: marine gamma proteobacterium HTCC2143
Lineage: Bacteria; Pseudomonadati; Pseudomonadota; Gammaproteobacteria; Cellvibrionales; Spongiibacteraceae
Description: Bacterial large subunit ribosomal RNA
Rfam family: Bacterial large subunit ribosomal RNA
Source: Rfam by way of RNAcentral